GUUAGAGCCUGACUUACCUACUGAUCUUUGUGCUGGCAUUAAAGAAGAUGGGAGGACUACUGUGACUGGUAGGCCAACCAGAAUCAGGUAAUUGUUGGAGAAAGAUGGCUUGGAAAUCUAUCAAUUCCCUGGUAAUCUGCAGGCCACUGUAGCAUAGAGUGUCUUCUUGGGAAUAACGAAAUGGCACCUGCUCCAAAUGGUUCCCAUGGGAACCUAGAGAAGGACUUUCCCUAUAUUCCCCACCUCUUUGGGCUUCAGCAAAAGAAAAUGGACCUCAAGGGAGUCUUCAAGAGCUGCUUCAAAAUUUACUGUUCAUCAAAGCACUUGCUGAAGACUGGCUUCGUGUCAGAGGCUGUGCUGAAUGUUAUGGAGAAGGAGGUGAAGGAGAUUCGGUGCUUACCAUGA
This 405-nucleotide long non-coding RNA is filed under the name Macaca mulatta (Rhesus monkey). Its description in RNAcentral is "lncRNA (ENSMMUG00000050002.1)". Lineage: Eukaryota; Metazoa; Chordata; Mammalia; Primates; Cercopithecidae. The record is from RNAcentral.